GUCCAGCCGACAGGUGGGCCCCACCCAGCUGUCUUCCACCUCCAGUUGGUCUCCCGACCGAGAACGCAACCCGCGCGCGUAUCCUGCGCAUGAUCUCACCGAUCCCUCCGAUCCGUCUGCGAUUCGCUCGCAUACGCACAACCCCGAACAGCCGUCGAUCUCCUCUCUCGAUCCCUUGCCUUGCCUCGCACAACCGAGCAGGGAAUCGAGCGCAGCGACCUUGCGGAUCUUCGCCUCGUCGCCGGUACUUCAUCGACGAAAUUCGUCGCCGCCUAUGCUCGGGUUCGAGCUCCCCAGCCAACCCGAUCUCGUCGGAGCUCCCAUCGCCAGCAGCCCCUCCGCCGGCGAAUUUGGCGCCACCAAGGGAGAGAAUCAAACCUAGCACGCCGAGCUUGCCCGGAGCAAAUCACCGCCACCCGUCGCUCCACCCGUACACUGUCAUCGCCUGACGACGCCCCGUCGUCACUGACCUCACAACCUUCUUCUCCGUCACUCUGCGCACCUGCUGGUCCACCCUCCCAGUCGCCUUGGUCCACCGGAGAGGCCACACCGAGAAACGCCAUAGCCACACCGACAUCGGAGCUCCAAACGCCACUGCAGCGCUAGCAGAGGACGCUCACAUCUCCGUCGAAGCUACCAUCGUCUCCGUCAUCGCAAGCUGCAUCCGCCCGUCACCUCAUCUUCGCCGGAGAGCCACCGGAGGAGCGCCGCCACCCACGCCCGAAGCCGUCGCCGUUUUCCCCCUGCUUCGAUUGCUCGGAGCGUGACUAGUAGAAUUAUCAGGAUUGUGAGUGCGACGAUCUUCAUCCAACGUACCAGGCAAGUUACACCUUGAUCAUCCUUCAUCCUAUUAUUUUUCUAUGCAUGUAGUUAUAUAUAUCACAAUACACAUUAUGCAUGUGUAGGAAUAUUAUGGUAGUAUGCUAUUGCGUUUGAGAUGCAGUUAGUAUGGCCUUAUUGUAGACCGCAGUAGUGUAUUCUUGCUACGCUAUGUAGGCGGGGAUUGGUUCGUGUAUUCAUCGAGAUUUUGUGAGGACUAUAUAUAAUAUAACUUGAGUAAAAACAUAAUAUAUAAUUCACCUCUGGACGGACAGGGUUGCAUCAUGGUUUCUUGUUCCUUUUCUAAGGGCAUGGACCAUGGCUAAGUGCACGUGAACAAUAUUGCUGGGUGGUUUCAAGAACAUCAUGGUUUAUACCCUCUGAAUGUAAGUGGGUGCCAUUCAGGCUCAAAAAGAUCAGACAGACUUAGUGACUAUAGUAGCUUCCAUGUACAACCACUGCUAAUAUGCGCUCUGGCUUAGUUGAUCAAUUGUGGAGACCUUACCCGGAUGUGCCAGCAAAUGUAGCUAUGAUAGUUGGGAUGGGCCUCCUUUGGGACUAGGCGACUACUUCUGAAAGACUAUGUCUCAAUCUUCGGGUUGAGUCCAGUGGGUAAAAUGUACAAAUCUCUGCAGAGUGUAUAAACUAAUCAUGAUUAGCCGUGUUCUCGGUUAUGGACAAAUUUGAGCCACUAUGCCAUUACAGUUGUUGGAUCAUCUUGACAGAUGAUACCUUAAUAAAAAUUGAGUGGGAAACUUAAUAAUUGGGAUAGGUUGGAAUUGGAUUGCCCAAUUCAACCAUAUGUAUUCAAUUGUAGCAAGACAUAAAUAAAAUUUGACUAUUAUAUUAUGUAGUUAUCAGGGAAAAACUAGCUUUCUGCAAAACAACCACUACAAUAUCCUCUUGAUACACCUUGCAUAUCUCUACUCCUAAUGUCUCAGUUGGUAGGUCGCGUUCCGGGUUUAAUUUUCGUCCCACCUCACCCGAUCUUUUUUGGUACUUCCUCUCACCUCACACUGAGCCGCCAUGAACCAAAAAAACCUCGUAUUGAGGCUCCCACCCGCCCCCACGCACCCAUCUACAAAGCAAAGGAAAAAAACCUACGAAAAUUAACCAAUGAAAAAAACCUACGAAAAUUAACCAGCAAAAAAACCUAAACCAAUCGCACGCACGACUCUCCUGCCCUCCACUCGCACGCCCGACUCUCCUGCCCUCCACUCGCACGCCCGACUCUCCUGCCCUCCACUCGCACCCGACUCACUGCCCUCGUUCGCGGCCGCCCUCCAUCCCUUCGCCGCCGCCAAGACCCCGCCGGAUCUCACCGCCGCCGAUCUCCUCGAGAAGACCCUGUCGGAUCUCACCGUCGCCGAUCUCCUCGAGAAGACCCUGCCGGAUCUCACCGCCGUCGAUCUCCUCGCGAAGAUCCCGCCGGAUCUCGCUGCCGCCGUAACUCCAUAAAGCCGCCGCCGCCGAUCCCCUCCAGAAAACCCCGCCAAUCCCCUCCGGAAGACCCCGCCGAAUCUUGCGUCGGGGCCACGGUUCUGGAUCGCCGUCGCAGGGCGGUUUCAACCAGAGCCGGCGGCCUUGAGGAGAGGAGCUCGACGAGCGGGCAGGGUGAUCCCGUGCCUUGGAGACGGCGACCCUCAACCCCUUGCUGCUGUGGUGCACUGGGCACAUCUGUGACGAGGAGGAGGCGAGCCACAAUUCAUCACCUUCCUCGUCUCUCUCAUGGCUGUGCACAAGGAUGUCCGCACCCCGAGCCGAGCUCUGUUUGACCGGAGGACAAGCAGAGGAAAGGCGAACAGGGGUGAUGACAUGGCUCCUGAGCAAGGUGAACAUCGCCUUUAAGGCGAGCGGUGGCGGCCCCUUAUCUUGGGCCCCUACAAUAAGUAAACUCAACAUGCGUGAUUCUGAUUAGAGGCAACCGGAUCGUUAUUGAACAUAUUGAUGAUUCCUGUUGUGUAUUCUCAAGGAAUGGUCAGGUUUAGUACUGUAACUAUUUUCUUAUCAAAUAUAUUUGGGUGGUGCUCAAAAUGCAGAGCUGAAAAGCAAGAAACGUAAAGCCACCUCUGAAGAUAAGUUCACCAUGCCUCCCAGAGUGUCACCCCGCUUCGUUGAACUUAAUGGAAUAAGAUCAGAUCAGAAUAACCUUUGUAAACUAGGCAACUGAAUCAUUUCAUUGUUGCUUGUCCAUGUAACGAAGAACUAUCAUUUGGGUACCAAGUUCCACUUCAGGCCAGGAAAAUUUCUUAUAACUUCAAAACGGCAAGGGAUGCACCAUUGUCUUCAGGUCUGCCUUGCAGGUUGGAGUGCAGCUUUCAGAUAUCUUUCUUUCCUUGGGAUAGUUGGAAUGGAAUACUAUGACUAGAUAUACAAUGGUAUUGUUAUCAGUGUUCGGCCUUCAAUGAUUUCGGUGCAGCAUGUCUAGACCAUCAACGGCAAUUUGAGCUCCUUAGUGAAGUAGGUCUGUAAGGCGUUGCUUCAACUCAAGAAAAUCAAUGGCCACAAUUGGGAAGUUGACUGACAAUCCAAAGAGAGUGCCAAUUUUCAAUCUCGUGUUUAGGUGCUUACAUCAAUCUCGUGCAUAGUCUCGAUCACCACCACCGGGGCAGCUACUUCUGCUGGCAGGGGCUGGGCGCCGCCGUGAGGAUGCUAUCACCCAUGCACGCAGUGAUGGCAUGGUGGCCGAAGAAGGCCGUCUUCUGGGGAGCCGCGCGCUGGCCGCCAUCUCCACCCGCGGCCACACCAACAAGACAGGUGAUUUUAGGGUUGGUUCUGUCUGAAACCAAGCUAGCAGUAAUAUGCAGAGAAGGUUCGCCUGACAUAAUGACCAACGAGAGCAAGUUGUUUUUUCUUGAUGAAAAUGAUAGCUACCACUUGAUGAGAUUUAGCAAUACAAGCAUUUCCUCUAAUUUUAUUUGUAGGUAAUCCUUUAAGCUCCAAGGAAAUAGCUGAAUGUCACUACCAAAUUAAAUUACCUUUGUACAGAAAAUACGUGGAGUUAUGUGAUCUGCAAGUGAGCAGCUCUCUCACCAACGAGUUAAUAACAUUAAAAUAGGUCUGCAGGAGGUGCCUUUGAGAACUUGAUCAGCUACUCGAGCUUCAUUGUCAGCGAAGUCUCCACUGGGUUGCCCAGAUCUGUCCUGAAUUGCUUCAUUGAUGACAAUUUGGAGAAGGCUCCGCUGACACUUACAAAGGAUGUUUUCCUUUGUUGGAAAGACGAGGAUACGCUGGAGAUAGACAUGGGGUGGUAAGAAAAUGAUGAGUUCCUGAUGAUAUUAUGCUUGCUGGUCUAAACCUACAUGUAUUAUGUCAGUUUGUUGUUAAGAGUAUCUUGAAAAUAUAAAGCCACUGGGUGGCCAGGCAUUCUAUACUAUCGUCUUUCCAAGAGCCCACAUUUCUGCAUGUAUAUAUUUGUUGUACAGCCUAUGCUGGUUUGCCUACAAUAAUUAUCAGAAGGUAAUAUGCAGCAGCCAAAUUCUCUC
Molecule: RNA transcript, 4304 nt
Organism: Triticum aestivum (bread wheat)
Lineage: Eukaryota; Viridiplantae; Streptophyta; Magnoliopsida; Poales; Poaceae
Exons: 10
Source: RefSeq, a predicted model, not a curated record